This 1047-nucleotide ribosomal RNA is filed under the name fungal endophyte. Its description in RNAcentral is "eukaryotic LSU rRNA". The stretch from base 458 to 1047 matches the Rfam family "Eukaryotic large subunit ribosomal RNA", at positions 1 to 512 of the family's 3401-position model. Lineage: Eukaryota; Fungi. The record is from RNAcentral.
CGCCCGGGCUUCGGCCUGGUUAUUCAUAACCCUUUGUUGUCCGACUCUGUUGCCUCCGGGGCGACCCUGCCUUCGGGCGGGGGCUCCGGGUGGACACUUCAAACUCUUGCGUAACUUUGCAGUCUGAGUAAACUUAAUUAAUAAAUUAAAACUUUUAACAACGGAUCUCUUGGUUCUGGCAUCGAUGAAGAACGCAGCGAAAUGCGAUAAGUAAUGUGAAUUGCAGAAUUCAGUGAAUCAUCGAAUCUUUGAACGCACAUUGCGCCCCCUGGUAUUCCGGGGGGCAUGCCUGUUCGAGCGUCAUUUCACCACUCAAGCCUCGCUUGGUAUUGGGCAACGCGGUCCGCCGCGUGCCUCAAAUCGUCCGGCUGGGUCUUCUGUCCCCUAAGCGUUGUGGAAACUAUUCGCUAAAGGGUGUUCGGGAGGCUACGCCGUAAAACAACCCCAUUUCUAAGGUUGACCUCGGAUCAGGUAGGGAUACCCGCUGAACUUAAGCAUAUCAAUAAGCGGAGGAAAAGAAACCAACAGGGAUUGCUCUAGUAACGGCGAGUGAAGCAGCAAUAGCUCAAAUUUGAAAUCUGGCGUCUUCGACGUCCGAGUUGUAAUUUGUAGAGGAUGCUUCUGAGUGGCCACCGACCUAAGUUCCUUGGAACAGGACGUCAUAGAGGGUGAGAAUCCCGUAUGCGGUCGGAAAGGCGCUCUAUACGUAGCUCCUUCGACGAGUCGAGUUGUUUGGGAAUGCAGCUCUAAAUGGGAGGUAAAUUUCUUCUAAAGCUAAAUAUUGGCCAGAGACCGAUAGCGCACAAGUAGAGUGAUCGAAAGAUGAAAAGCACUUUGGAAAGAGAGUUAAAAAGCACGUGAAAUUGUUAAAAGGGAAGGGAUUGCAACCAGACUUGCUCGCGGUGUUCCGCCGGUCUUCUGACCGGUCUACUCGCCGCGUUGCAGGCCAGCAUCGUCUGGUGCCGCUGGAUAAGACUUGAGGAAUGUAGCUCCCUCGGGAGUGUUAUAGCCUCUUGUGAUGCAGCGAGCGCCGGGCGAGGUCCGCGC